Molecule: ribosomal RNA, 253 nt
Filed under: uncultured bacterium
Lineage: Bacteria
Description: partial 16S ribosomal RNA
Rfam family: Bacterial small subunit ribosomal RNA
Source: RNAcentral
UACGGAGGGGGCUAGCGUUGUUCGGAAUUACUGGGCGUAAAGCGCGCGUAGGCGGACCUGCAAGUCGGGGGUGAAAUCCCGGGGCUCAACCUCGGAACUGCCUCUGAUACUGUUGGUCUCGAGUCCGGAAGAGGUGGGUGGAAUUCCUAGUGUAGAGGUGAAAUUCGUAGAUAUUAGGAAGAACACCGGUGGCGAAGGCGGCCCACUGGUCCGGUACUGACGCUGAGGUGCGAAAGCGUGGGGAGCAAACAGG